RNAcentral lists this ribosomal RNA (446 nucleotides) under uncultured bacterium. RNAcentral describes it as "SSU rRNA". It matches the Rfam family "Bacterial small subunit ribosomal RNA", at positions 26 to 518 of the family's 1533-position model. The record is from RNAcentral.
AGAACGAACGCUGGCGGCAUGCCUAACACAUGCAAGUCGAACGAGACCUUCGGGUCUAGUGGCGCACGGGUGCGUAACGCGUGGGAAUCUGCCCUUGGGUUCGGAAUAACACAGAGAAAUUUGUGCUAAUACCGGAUGAUGUCUUCGGACCAAAGAUUUAUCGCCCAAGGAUGAGCCCGCGUAGGAUUAGGUAGUUGGUGGGGUAAUGGCCUACCAAGCCGACGAUCCUUAGCUGGUCUGAGAGGAUGAUCAGCCACACUGGGACUGAGACACGGCCCAGACUCCUACGGGAGGCAGCAGUGGGGAAUCUUGCGCAAUGGGCGAAAGCCUGACGCAGCAACGCCGCGUGGAGGACGAAGGCUUUCUGAGUUGUAAACUCCUUUCAGCAGGGACGAUAGUGACGGUACCUGCAGAAGAGCACCGGCCAACUACGUGCCAGCAGCCGC